GAUCCUGGCUCAGAAUCAACGCUGGCGGCGUGCCUAACACAUGCAAGUCGAACGCGAAAGGGGCUUCGGCCCUGAGUAGAGUGGCGAACGGGUGAGUAACACGUGGGUGACCUACCCUCGAGUGGGGGAUAACAUCCCGAAAGGGGUGCUAAUACCGCAUGACAUCCUGCCUUUGAACAGGCGGAUAUUAAAGCCGGGGAUCGCAAGACCUGGCGSUUGAGGAGGGGCUCGCGUCCGAUUAGCUAGUUGGUGGGGUAAAGGCCUACCAAGGCGACGAUCGGUAGCCGGCCUGAGAGGGCGGACGGCCACACUGGGACUGAGACACGGCCCAGACUCCUACGGGAGGCAGCAGUGGGGAAUUGUUCGCAAUGGGCGCAAGCCUGACGACGCAACGCCGCGUGGAGGACGAAGAUCUUCGGGUCGUAAACUCCUUUCGAUCGGGACGAAUGGCUGGCGGUCUAAUACACCGCCGGAGUGACGGUACCGAGAGAAGAAGCCCCGGCUAACUCCGUGCCAGCAGCCGCGGUAAUACGGGGGGGGCAAGCGUUGUUCGGAAUUACUGGGCGUAAAGGGCGCGUAGGCGGCCUGUUAAGUCGGAUGUGAAAUCCCUCGGCUCAACCGAGGAACUGCAUCCGAUACUGGCGGGCUGGAAUCCGGGAGAGGGAUGUGGAAUUCCAGGUGUAGCGGUGA
RNAcentral lists this ribosomal RNA (690 nucleotides) under uncultured Acidobacteriota bacterium. RNAcentral describes it as "bacterial SSU rRNA". It matches the Rfam family "Bacterial small subunit ribosomal RNA", at positions 15 to 684 of the family's 1533-position model. The record is from RNAcentral. Lineage: Bacteria; Pseudomonadati; Acidobacteriota.